AGUCUAGGUAGUUGACGGAUAUGAUAUGGGAAGGUUUUGAGCUGCUAUCAAUCUUGCUCAUAGAGAUGUACUCUCUUGAGUUUUAGACACAACUGUUUAGACUUAAGAUUUGCUCUAAGCUUGAAACUCGUGGGUAGCAAAUGCUUGAUGUAAGUCUAGGUAGUUGACGGAUAUGAUAUGGGAAGGUUUUGAGCUGCUAUCAAUCUUGCUCCUAGAGAUGCUAAAAUUCUAGAGAAUUUUAUUUUGAAAAUCUUAAAUUGCUACAUGAUGAGUUCCUUUAUGACAAGAGUUUUAAAAUCCCAACCACAACCAAUUACUAAUGCUUACUAGGUUAGGAAAACCUCCACUUAUAUUUCAACCUACAAGCAUUGAGAGUAGUUAAGCUGUGUAGACCCUAUGGAUCUAGUCAUGCAGUUAAAGUCAAUAUUAUAUGCUCUCCAUCUAUUCAUCUUAGCUACUUUUGUCCUCAGAAGUAUGCAACCACAUUCAUUCACCACAUUCACUACGUGCUACUUCUGUUCCUAGAAGUACCACACACAUAUACACACUACACUCUCUCUUGUUUCUAUCGUGAAGACACGCACCUAUGCUGCUCCUACCCUAGGAGUACGCAUUCCUUCAUUCACCCACACACAUUCCACAUCCACUUAGAAAAUGUUAUACUCCUACAUUGGGAGAAGACACCCAAAAAUAUUCAAUGUCUUAUUCUACUUAUCCAAUAAAGCCCUAGUUAUCCCAGUUGAUACUCCCUACUAUUAUAAUUGAAUUAAAAGGGAUGGCUGAUCUCUAAAAAAACAGAGAAAAAUGAAAAAAAAAGAAAGAGGACAAAAGUCCCAAUGCAAAAGAAAAGAAAGACACAAAGACAACCAAAUCCUUGUUCUCAGGUUAGGGAGGUAUGUUAUCCCCAAGGAGCAAAUGUAGAAUUAGAUAUUCACCAUCAGUUAUCACCCCUCAUAAUCCCUUUCAUUCUUAUCACUUCAUUCACUACACUCACAUGGACAUAUGACUUGAUUGUAUAAUUAGUUUCUCUAGAUCCAUGGUUUAACUAUGCAAUACAUGCAAGUAGGUUUGAAUUAUCUUUCCCACCUAUGAGCUCCACAUAAGUUAAUUAGAAGUAGGGUGAGAGACAGAAGGCAACUAUGUCUUAGUGAUACAAAUACCACAUAUUCUGAGAGCAGAGAGAAGGCAUACUCACUUGCCUUAGAGAGGAUCCAGAAAUGCCACAUAUGAGAGACUGGAAAGUGUCACAUAAGGAAACUCUAAGUUUUAUUUGAAAAUCUUGGAAAACUCUAGAAUAAUAGUUGAUCAAAGAGCGGGUAGUAUAGUGCUCGACUUAACUGUUCUGUCUUUCAACUGCCCAAGACCAAAGUGAUAGAUAUAAGCCCCAUGGUGAAAGGUAAAAUGGGUGAGUCUUGAGUCACAAUAGUUCACUCUAAUCUAUAGGGGAAUCCUUGUUUGAAUACUUAUGUACUUG
Molecule: long non-coding RNA, 1474 nt
Filed under: Sorghum bicolor (sorghum)
Lineage: Eukaryota; Viridiplantae; Streptophyta; Magnoliopsida; Poales; Poaceae
Description: long non-coding RNA (SBIC_LNC014569)
Source: RNAcentral